This 385-nucleotide ribosomal RNA is filed under the name uncultured bacterium. RNAcentral describes it as "bacterial SSU rRNA". It matches the Rfam family "Bacterial small subunit ribosomal RNA", at positions 29 to 439 of the family's 1533-position model. The record is from RNAcentral.
AACGAACGCUGGCGGCAGGCUUAACACAUGCAAGUCGAACGGGUGUAGCAAUACAUCAGUGGCAGACGGGUGAGUAACACGUGGGAACCUUCCUAGGGGGUACGGAACAACUCAGGGAAACUUGAGCUAAUACCGUAUACGUCCGUAAGGAGAAAGAUUUAUCGCCCUUAGACGGGCCCGCGUCGGAUUAGGUAGUUGGUGGGUAACGGCCUACCAAGCCUACGAUCCGUAGCUGAUCUGAGAGGAUGAUCAGCCACACUGGGACUGAGACACGGCCCAGACUCCUACGGGAGGCAGCAGUGGGGAAUCUUGGACAAUGGGCGCAAGCCUGAUCCAGCCAUGCCGCGUGAGUGAAGAAGGCCUUAGGGUUGUAAAGCUCUUUUAC